CGCUUCCGACCAGGCAAGCCCCAGUACAUUUCUCAAUAAGGAUGAAAAGCUUCCAGGAACCUUUGGCGUAGAGGGCUGUGAAUCGAUGAAUUGGAGGACAGACCGCUUUUACUAGUUAUUCUUGCAGGGGUCUUGGGCAAUCAAGACCAGCCAGUGACUCAAUGAGGAAGGGAGGGAGCGAUAGCGACAACCGAUCCAGGGAGUCUUCCGUAAGACAAGAUCGACUUCCUUUUGCACCAGUUCCAUUUGUUGAAGGAAAGAGCCCCUUCC
RNAcentral lists this long non-coding RNA (270 nucleotides) under Panicum hallii. RNAcentral's name for it is "long non-coding RNA (PHAL_LNC000110)". The record is from RNAcentral. Lineage: Eukaryota; Viridiplantae; Streptophyta; Magnoliopsida; Poales; Poaceae.